Molecule: non-coding RNA, 179 nt
Filed under: Rossellomorea marisflavi
Lineage: Bacteria; Bacillati; Bacillota; Bacilli; Caryophanales; Bacillaceae
Also listed under: 1 other name
Description: Bacillus marisflavi Lysine sequence
Rfam family: Lysine riboswitch aptamer
About the family: Riboswitches are metabolite binding domains within certain messenger RNAs that serve as precision sensors for their corresponding targets.
Source: Rfam by way of RNAcentral
AGUGGUGAUAGAGGUGCGGACUUCAAUAGUACGGUUCACGGAAGAGUAUGAGCUCUGGAGAUGUGACCGGAAAGGGGAGGACCGCCGAAGUGAAGCCGCACUCAUAUCGGCUGCGCUGGUUCUGCAUUUAAUAGAUGCAGGAUUGUCAAGAUGAUUCAUCUUGGAGAGCUAUCUCACAA